GAUGAACGCUAGCUACAGGCUUAACACAUGCAAGUCGAGGGGAAACGACAGUAAAGCUUGCUUUAUUGGGCGUCGACCGGCGCACGGGUGCGUAACGCGUAUCCAACCUGCCCCCAACUCCGGAAUAGUCCCCCGAAAGGGGGGUUAACGCCGGAUGCUGCAAUUUUUCCGCAUGGUGGAAUUGCGAAAUGAAAAAGGUUGGGGCUGGGGAUGCGUCCCAUUAGGUAGUAGGCGGGGUAACGGCCCACCUAGCCGACGAUGGGUAGGGGUUCUGAGAGGAAGGUCCCCCACAUUGGAACUGAGACACGGUCCAAACUCCUACGGGAGGCAGCAGUGAGGAAUAUUGGUCAAUGGGCGAGAGCCUGAACCAGCCAAGUAGCGUGUGGGACGAAUGCCCUAUGGGUUGUAAACCACUUUUGCAGGAGGGUAAAAAUGCUUCACGUGUGGAGUAUUGCAAGUAUCCUGCGAAUAAGGACCGGCUAAUUCCGUG
Molecule: ribosomal RNA, 490 nt
Filed under: uncultured bacterium
Lineage: Bacteria
Description: bacterial SSU rRNA
Rfam family: Bacterial small subunit ribosomal RNA
Source: RNAcentral